UUUAAAUUAUUUGCUGUGCUUAUAUAGAAUAGAAGAGGGCCCAAGAGAUUGAAAUUAAAGUGUAAAUUUGACCUUUUCACUUAUUAAGAAUAAUACAUUUUAGCUGAUAAAACUUCAGUGGGGAAUUUUCUAACGAUGCCUCGAUUGGAAGCUCCUAAUUUGCUGUCACGUGUUAGUUUUGCUUCCAUCCAAAAAUUAGCUGUAUAUUUUUUGAUAUCAAAAUUUUAAGAAAAGUUAAAUUCUAGAGCGAAAGAUAAUAAUUCUUGAAUAAAAACAAAACUAAAAUAUGACAGCGAAUCGGAAGCUUCUCAAGACAAUAUUACG
RNAcentral lists this long non-coding RNA (324 nucleotides) under Ananas comosus (pineapple). RNAcentral describes it as "long non-coding RNA (ACOM_LNC031875)". The record is from RNAcentral. Lineage: Eukaryota; Viridiplantae; Streptophyta; Magnoliopsida; Poales; Bromeliaceae.